CAUUCAAUCAAGUCUUAACUUGGAGAAGAACGGAGGAACCAAUUUUUGGGGCAAAUCUCACUCAGCGUGAGACAGACACCUUCCAGUCUGAGUCCGUCAGCUAACUCCGUAGGCAAUGGAAGGAGCACCA
RNAcentral lists this small RNA (130 nucleotides) under Microcoleus sp. RNAcentral's name for it is "c-di-AMP sequence". It matches the Rfam family "c-di-AMP riboswitch aptamer (ydaO/yuaA leader)". Rfam says of the family: This family represents a conserved RNA structure found upstream of the ydaO and yuaA genes in Bacillus subtilis and related genes in other bacteria. The ydaO/yuaA element is thought to act as a genetic "off" switch for the ydaO and yuaA genes in its native state. The record is from RNAcentral. RNAcentral also lists the same sequence under 1 other name. Lineage: Bacteria; Bacillati; Cyanobacteriota; Cyanophyceae; Oscillatoriales; Microcoleaceae.